Molecule: long non-coding RNA, 799 nt
Organism: Daphnia pulicaria
Lineage: Eukaryota; Metazoa; Arthropoda; Branchiopoda; Diplostraca; Daphniidae
Exons: 4
Source: RefSeq, a predicted model, not a curated record
CCAGGGGUAGUUUUUGUGAUAGAAAAGUAAAUGUAAACAAACAAUAGAUUUAGAAUGCAUUCGAAGAUUCGUGUAUUAUCAAAGGAAAAGUAAUUCAAAAUGUUUUCCAUGCCCAACAAAAAUUGGCGUUUACUUCCGAAUUUUAUUUAAGUUAAUAUUUCAUGUUUCGGUAUUCCCAAGUUUCACUGUAUUCAUUCAGCUUUUUGUUAUGUCCUAGUCCUAGUCCACAGACACAUACCAACAGUUGCUUCCAUAAAAAAAAAAACGAUUAAACAUUCAGCAACUUUUGUAAACAGUUUAAUAAUUGGUCUCUUACUAAAUUAAGUCAUUUCAGGAACUUCAGCAUGUUCUUCAGUAUAUCGAAACAGUGCCAACCCACCUGUGCCAAACUAUACAUGUUUACAACUGGAGUAAAUGUAGCAUGGAUCAACUUCCAGUGACCAACUUCCAGUGACCAACUUCCAGUGACCAACUUGUGGCUAGAGUCGAUACUUACAAGGGUAUUAGUUGCAAUGCUUCCUGACAUGGUAAAUUAUUCCAUAGCAGAAAUAGAUGCUAUGUGUUGAAAAGCUAAAGUGUUUUUUCACUGUGAUGGAGCCCAAGCUGUAGGUAAAAUUCCAAUUGAUGUUGAAUCGAUGUCAAUUGAUUUAUAAAGGUGUUGGUGCUCUUUACGUGAUAGGCCGACCACGGGUUAGGAUUGAAGCUCUGCAAAGUGGACGUGGUCAGGAAUGAGGGAUACGUGGUGGAACAGUUCCUACUCCACUGACAGAGUGACAGUUGGUUUUGGCGCAGCAUGUGA